AAGCGUGCGUAGGCGGCUCGUUAAGUCAGAUGUGAAAGCCCUGGGCUCAACCUGGGAACUGCAUUUGAAACUGGCGAGCUAGAGUUUAAGAGAGGUAAGUGGAAUUUCAGGUGUAGCGGUGAAAUGCGUAGAGAUCUGAAGGAACACCAGUGGCGAAGGCGACUUACUGGCUUAAAACUGACGCUGAGGUACGAAAGCGUGGGUAGCAAACAGGAUUAGAUACCCUGGUAGUCCACGCCGUAAACGAUGUCAACUAGCCGUUGGCUCUCUUUGAGAGUUAGUGGCGCAGCUAACGCAUUAAGUUGACCGCCUGGGGAGUACGGCCGCAAGGUUAAAACUCAAAUGAAUUGACGGGGGCCCGCACAAGCGGUGGAGUAUGUGGUUUAAUUCGAUGCAACGCGAAGAACCUUACCUACCCUUGACAUGUCGAGAAUCUUUCAGAGAUGAGAGAGUGCCUUCGGGAACUCGAACACAGGUGCUGCAUGGCUGUCGUCAGCUCGUGUCGUGAGAUGUUGGGUUAAGUCCCGUAACGAGCGCAACCCUUGUCCUUAGUUGCCAGCGGGUAAUGCCGGGAACUCUAGGGAGACUGCCAGUGAUAAACUGGAGGAAGGUGGGGACGACGUCAAGUCAUCAUGGCCCUUAUGGGUAGGGCUACACACGUGCUACAAUGGUCGGUACAAAGGGCUGCAAGCUCGCGAGAGUAAGCGAAUCCCACAAAGCCGAUCGUAGUCCGGAUGGGAGUCUGCAACUCGACUCC
This 757-nucleotide ribosomal RNA is filed under the name uncultured bacterium. RNAcentral's name for it is "bacterial SSU rRNA". It matches the Rfam family "Bacterial small subunit ribosomal RNA", at positions 563 to 1319 of the family's 1533-position model. The record is from RNAcentral.